This 478-nucleotide ribosomal RNA is filed under the name uncultured bacterium. RNAcentral describes it as "partial 16S ribosomal RNA". It matches the Rfam family "Bacterial small subunit ribosomal RNA", at positions 28 to 523 of the family's 1533-position model. The record is from RNAcentral.
GACGAACGCUGGCGGCGUGCUUAACACAUGCAAGUCGAACGGUAAGGCCCUUCGGGGUACACGAGUGGCGAACGGGUGAGUAACACGUGGGUGAUCUGCGCUGCACUUCGGGAUAAGCCUGGGAAACUGGGUCUAAUACCGGAUAGGACUCCGGACUGCAUGGUCGGGGGUGGAAAGCUUUUGCGGUGUGGGAUGGGCCCGCGGCCUAUCAGCUUGUUGGUGGGGUGAUGGCCUACCGAGGCGACGGCGGGUAGCCGGCCUGAGAGGGUGACCGGCCACACUGGGACUGAGAUACGGCCCAGACUCCUACGGGAGGCAACAGUGGGGAAUAUUGCACAAUGGGCGCAAGCCUGAUGCAGCGACGCCGCGUGAGGGAUGACGGCCUUCGGGUUGUAAACCUCUUUCAGCACAGACGAAGCGCAAGUGACGGUAUGUGCAGAAGAAGGACCGGCCAACUACGUGCCAGCAGCCGCGGUAA